GGACCUACGGGACGCAGCAGUGGGGAAUAUUGCACAAUGGGGGGAACCCUGAUGCAGCGACGCCGCGUGGGCGAGGAAGUAUUUCGGUAUGUAAAGCCCUAUCGGCAGGGAAGAAGAAAUGACGGUACCUGGAUAAGAAGCACCGGCUAAAUACGUGCCAGCAGCCGCGGUAAUACGUAUGGUGCAAGCGUUAUCCGGCUUUACUGGGCGUAAAGGGAGCGCAGGCGGCG
RNAcentral lists this ribosomal RNA (230 nucleotides) under uncultured bacterium. Its description in RNAcentral is "partial 16S ribosomal RNA". It matches the Rfam family "Bacterial small subunit ribosomal RNA", at positions 335 to 580 of the family's 1533-position model. The record is from RNAcentral.